CAGCGGAGCAAUGACAAUCUGGAUUGCUGCAUUUCGCUUCCAAACCGAAGCUCUCAGUUAACACACCGGCUCGGUACGCCAGCAGAUGCCGUUUAAGCCUUUAAAUCGCACACUAAUUGCACUAAUUGAGCUAACAGUCUCUGUUUCGUCUCCCUACCCUGAGUCAACCAGCGUCUUCUGGUACUGCUGUAGAGAUCCAAGCUGUUGACUGUAGUGUUAUUUUGUCAGCCAUUAAACGAUUCAUCAGAGUCAUUAAUUGAUUUAUUACUGCUGCCUGCGAGUAUAGCUUUGCAAAUAAAGAAGGAUGGAGGUCAGGAGGCAAUGGAAAUCGGACAAAACAGCACAGCCAGGGGCUGGGCACUUGAAUUAUCAGUAGAAGCCUGCUUGCGCAGGACCGCUGGCAUCAGGUUAUGGGGGAAAAACAGGGCAAAAAAAGAAAAAGAAAAGACGCACUGUUUGGCUGCACUGCCAAACCAGUUAGUUUUUUCAGCUAAAUUCUAUGUAGGAUGUAAAAGGGCUAUUAACAAUCUUGUUUUCUUAACCUAAUCCUUAGGAAGAAUCCAGGUUAUUCCACUGUAUUAAUUGCAUUUAAGAGCGGCAGGGAAGAGGCACCGGUGCGGCUGCCCCAGAGCAUCCCCGGCAUCCCCAGCCACAACACCAGCAUUUUGGUGCCACUUGUUCCAGGCUGGCUGAGCCGGGAACACAACUCAUCCCUGCUCGUCCCACAACCCUGGGAGGAGCUGCGGACCGGGGCUUUUAUUUAUUUACUUUCUUUAACGCAGAGUUUAGGUCUUUGCUAGGCGUGCAGGUUUGCCGAGCGCAGGGUGCGGCGAGCCGCUUCCUGCCCCCCGCCCUGUGGCAGGCUCGACCCGAGUGGAGCUGUGAGGCACCAUCGAGGCCAAGAGGGUUUUGGGGGCUGAGUUUAAAAACCAGAGCUGCCAACGCACAGCUGGUGGGCUGAAACUGCCUCCAGCCCCGGGGUACCCCCGAUAAUAAGAGGCAGCACCCAACAAGGGAAGGUUUGGGAAGCUGGGGAGCUUUCUGGAUGCACUGCUGCAUGACAGCCCUUGGGAUGCUGCAACAGGAUUCUUCUUCCUCAUCCCCAUUGCUGGGCAAGCCUGAGCUGCCUCCAGGAGCAUCCCCAAGGUGGGCUACGGUGCUGCACCCCGCCCUGUUAGGCUCCCAGUAAGGUGAUACCCUGCGGGGUGGCAGGGCAUCAGCCCAGCCCCAGCUCGCCACCCGCCCAAACCCGUCAUUGCCUCACCAACAGAAGCGAUGGUUUCUAUUAACUAUGAAAACCAGGUUCCCAUCGGCAGUGUUUACUCUGCUGUUAAAUGCAAGCCCGUGUCCCCACCGCACGCUCCGGGCAAGCAGCUUUGGGUUGCACAGGCAGCUGCUCAGCAGCUUUCACUAAACGUUGGGGUUUUUUUAGAAAUAAAAAUAACCUCCAAACAGUGGUGCAGAGCGCUGGCAGGCAGCAGAGAGGAUGCUCCUUCGGUGCGAAGCACCACCAGCACUGGCCACUCUGCCAGCCCCAGCCUCCACCAACCCAGCAGCGAGAUGGGGGGGUGGGGGGCAAAAUUACCUUCAUGGCACAGACCUAAAACCAAACUAAGGAUGGCUGGACAUUUGCUUUUUGGCUCAAGAUGGUUUUGCCCUUGCUCGCCUCUUGAGAAGAGUGGACCAGGAGAUUUUGGCUGCAUCUCACACCUUGCAGACACAGCAGAAGCGGCACAAGGCACUCGAGGGCAGCUGCCUCCAAGCACAGGCUUUAGAGCCUAAGGAAAAAAUCAGCGUGUGGGUCAGGACUUAAGCAGGCUGCGUAAACAGUAACCCGAUUAACACCAAGGAGGAUGGCACGCCGACCGCUUCCUCUGGACCCAGCCCUCAGAUGCUCUCCUACAUCAGUCCCCUCCACAGGUCGAUGCCAGCAUCUGUGUUGCAUCAACGUGCAUGAAAAUAAAUAAAACACCAGCCUGCUGUAGCUCAUGUGAGUGUGACUGCCAGCCCACGUACCAGCCAUGGGCAUCCACUGCAAACCCACAGUGCUCACAGAGCCCCUCGGGUGGGCUCGGGGUGGUGGUGGGGCUGUGCACCCCAGCCCGGGUACGCCCGAGACCGUCCUGCUUCCUCUGGUGCAAGCCACUUGGCUGGAUGCUCCAGGAGACAAAACAAACCGGUUUUAGCUUAUCUUGGGGUAAGAUAAGGUAAAAGGAGACCGGGAUGAAGCUUUGUUUAUCGGCAAAAGGAAGGUAUAAAAAAAACGCACCCCACGUUAAAUGGGCUUGUAGCAGUAUCACCGAGCCACCCAAACACCAUCACCGUGCUCCCGUGGGGCACAUGCUGUGCAUACAAGUUCAGAUUAAUUAUACUUCUAUGAUAGCACAAGUUUUUUGUGCUGAUUUUAAACACACCACCGGUGAGCCGCCCGGCACGGGAAGCCCCAGCACACAAAGCCCCAGCGUACACCCGGCCGGGAACAGCCAUGCUCAUCCACUUUUCUUCUCCUCCUUUGAAAAGAAAGAAACAAUCCCCAGCCCUAUAUUUUCCUUGAGCUUUAAACAU
Falco peregrinus (peregrine falcon) is the source of this 2565-nucleotide long non-coding RNA. RefSeq lists it as uncharacterized. NCBI's taxonomy places the organism in Eukaryota, Metazoa, Chordata, Aves, Falconiformes, Falconidae. The record is from RefSeq and is a predicted model, not a curated record. The transcript is spliced from 3 exons.